AUCAUACCCAACCCACUGCUGCACGUUGGUGGAAAUGUCAAACUAGCAUCGUGAUUCUCAGGGCCACUGGAAUCCACGAGACUGACUUCCCUGAGGAGAGACUGCCUUCUAAUGGCGUGACCAUCUGCUCCACUUCCUUCGUGUUUGGUCAGUGAAUCACGGCAAGUCACAGGCCACCUGAGCAUUCUACUCACUUCUUUUGGAUGCAUCCAGGCCAAAGGCUCAGAGUGUGUUUGAGUUGAGAUAGAUCUGAGCAUAUUCAGUUAAAUGAGGCCCUCAAAGAGUAUGAUGGGGAAUUAUGCCCCACUGCCUCCCAAACUUCAAAUGUUGAAGCCCUAACCCUUAGAGCCUCAGACAGUAACUCUAUUCGGAGAUAGGGUCUGUAAAGAGGUAAUUAAGAAAAGGAGCAAAAAUGGAGCAAGUUUCCUUCUCCCUUGCGCUAUUUCUAAGGUCAUGUUAUAAAAAUCAAAUGGAGAAUACCUGUCAAACAGUUGAUCAAGCAGUGAGGAGAAAGAGAAAUAAUAUUAAUUCAAAGGGCAUGCUUCAACCCAUAGUCAGAACAAUCUAUUAGUUAAUCAAGCAAGAUUUAUUGAUACUCACCAAGAGACUGAAUAUACAAAUGGACAACGGCCAAGCCAUAAUUAAAAACAACUCCAACCUACAAUCUACAGCAGCCAGCCCAGGACACCAACCCAUUAGCAACAGCAAUCGGCCCAGGAAGCCAGCCUGCUAUCAUCAGCCAGACCUCUAGAAGUCUAACCACUAUCUCUAUCAACAAGUUAGGAAGCCAAACAAUAACCCCUGUAAGAAUCAGCUCCAAAUGGCCAGAACUUGACUGACAAUGGACAGCCUCCCUGAUUUUUGUCCCUGCUUCCAACUUAGGACAAACCAGAGAAAGGCAAAUAUGCACCCUAAGCAAUCACAUAGGCAUCUGUGCUUCUAGUGAACCACCUCCAGCUUCCCACACCAACAGCCUCCAAUCAGCACAUACCUGGAGCCUCCCUUUUUUCUACUAUGAAGUUUUCCCACUCCUCUGCCCGCAUUUGAGUCUCUGCCAAAACACAAACGAUAGUAGCUCUGAAUAAACAGCCUGUGCUUAUUCUUAUUUGGUUGGUCUUCAUUUAUUUCCACACUUCCAAAUGCAAGUAAAUGUUAUGCUAGGCCCUUGAA
RNAcentral lists this long non-coding RNA (1170 nucleotides) under Homo sapiens (human). RNAcentral describes it as "HSALNT0332730". The record is from RNAcentral. Lineage: Eukaryota; Metazoa; Chordata; Mammalia; Primates; Hominidae.